Long non-coding RNA from Brassica napus (rape), 1633 nucleotides. RefSeq lists it as uncharacterized. The transcript is spliced from 2 exons. The record is from RefSeq and is a predicted model, not a curated record. NCBI's taxonomy places the organism in Eukaryota, Viridiplantae, Streptophyta, Magnoliopsida, Brassicales, Brassicaceae.
UAUGUUAUGUCGUUUUAUGCUAUAAGUGUCAUUUUAGAAUUAAUGUGAUUUUAGAAUUAAUGUGACUUGUAAAAGAAAAAUAAUAAACAAUUAUUUUGUAAAUCUAUAUAUAUAAAAGAGUGUUUGGUUCACUCCUGGGGUGUCCACAUAGGCGGACACAUCACUAAUUCGUGCGAUGUCGUGCUGACACCUGUCCCCGAAUAAAAACGCGUCGUUUCAUUUAAGUUUGUUAUGGCGUGAGCUUUUGAUCGUAAUGUAUCCGUCUAUGCUAUUGGGCCUAAUUCAGAGUGUGCUGUCGGCCCAACCAGGCAAUACUGCUCGCAAAUCCUAAUCCGCCGUAUACGUGAAAACAUGUUUGUUCUUCGUUUCUGUUUGUUCGGCGGCGACGGCGACGGCGACGAUCGAGUUUCCUUGCUGUCUCGAAACGGAUUGCGGUAUGGAUUCUGUGUUUAAUCCCAUUAAAAACAUUGACGAUUGAGCUUCCUCAUGGUUUAUGAAACGGAUUGCGUCGGUAAGGCGGUGAGCUUUUUGGUAUAAAUAUGUCAGCAUUUCUCUUCUGAAAAUCGUGUUCUCUUCAUUCAUCUUCUAUUCAUAAGGCGUGGGAAGGUUUCACGACGGCCUCAAACGCUGAUCUGAUCGCAGAGCAGCAGAUUUGGGCUGCGGUUGAUCCUUAUGCCAAGAACGAAUGUUGUUUUGUCUUCUGUUAUUGUUGUUUCAGAAUGAAUGUUGUAUGCCGCCAGAAAUUAUAAACCAUUUGAUUCUUGAUUUUCUCAAUACAUGCUAGAUUGAAGCCUGUGUGUCUGUAUAUUUUUGUUCUAACUUUCCUAAAGAGUUUCUGAUUCAGAAAAUGAAGACUUUAAAGAGUACAAGGAGCAUGCUGAUAAUUUCAUGAAGAGUACCAACCUUCUCCAAGACGAGAUUUAAACACCUUCUAGCUUCUUUAUAAGCAUCUAUCUCCUCUCGGUGGGCAUCCAUGACCAAAUCUGCAGAUGCUACUCAAACGCUGAACUUAGAUUGAACUCACGCUGAAAUCAUUCCACAGUCGUACAUAUACGUGCAUGUCGCAGAUAUACAGACUCUCCAAUGAGACUAGAGCUUAACAUUUCUAUACCAGGAUCUAUGCAGAGCAUAUAACCCAAGUAGAUAUAAGAGAGAUUGAAAGAUAGAAAAUUACUUAACUAGCUGAAACUUGAUUCUUGGCUGAAGUUUUUUGGUUAAUUGUGGCUAAAUGCUUAGAUGAACUUUCUAAUUAUUAUCAUUUUUUUUCUGAAACUUAUGGGUUCUAAAUCACGGUUACAUUUCAGGCUUGGAAGAUUGGGUACAUAUAAGUCCGAGAAGCUAAGAACUAUUGACCUACUUAACAUGUGAUCUACUUUUAUGCAACACAACAAGUUGAACAUCAGAGUGGUUUGGAACAACUUUUGCAUUAUGUGGUUUUUUUUUAUCAGCGUAUUAUGUGGUUUUAUGUUUUAAUAUUUUUGGUUCAAGAUGAAGUUUCAGUAAACUACUAAUAAAUUAAUACUCUGUAGAAUUCAUUUGGUUGAUUUCCUUCGCUUCUAAAGUCAAGACGCAAGUAUAAUACCUUAAGACAAUAAUGUAUGAUUAUAGCAUAUAAUUUUGAUUAUACUAACUC